UACGUAGGGUGCAAGCGUUAAUCGGAAUUACUGGGCGUAAAGCGUGCGCAGGCGGUUGGGCAAGACAGAUGUGAAAUCCCCGGGCUUAACCUGGGAACUGCAUUUGUGACUGCACGGCUAGAGUGUGUCAGAGGGGGGUAGAAUUCCACGUGUAGCAGUGAAAUGCGUAGAGAUGUGGAGGAAUACCGAUGGCGAAGGCAGCCCCCUGGGAUAACACUGACGCUCAUGCACGAAAGCGUGGGGAGCAAACAGG
RNAcentral lists this ribosomal RNA (253 nucleotides) under uncultured bacterium. Its description in RNAcentral is "partial 16S ribosomal RNA". It matches the Rfam family "Bacterial small subunit ribosomal RNA", at positions 524 to 776 of the family's 1533-position model. The record is from RNAcentral.